RNAcentral lists this ribosomal RNA (373 nucleotides) under uncultured organism. Its description in RNAcentral is "partial 16S ribosomal RNA". It matches the Rfam family "Bacterial small subunit ribosomal RNA", at positions 527 to 896 of the family's 1533-position model. The record is from RNAcentral.
GUAGGUGGCAAGCGUUGUCCGGAAUUAUUGGGCGUAAAGCGCGUGCAGGCGGUUCUUUAAGUCUGAUGUGAAAGCCCACGGCUCAACCGUGGAGGGUCAUUGGAAACUGGAGAACUUGAGUACAGAAGAGGAAAGCGGAAUUCCACGUGUAGCGGUGAAAUGCGUAGAGAUGUGGAGGAACACCAGUGGCGAAGGCGGCUUUCUGGUCUGUAACUGACGCUGAGGCGCGAAAGCGUGGGGAGCAAACAGGGAUUAGAUACCCUGGUAGUCCACGCCGUAAACGAUGAGUGCUAAGUGUUAGGGGGUUUCCGCCCCCUUAGUGCUGCAGCUAACGCAUUAAGCACUCCGCCUGGGGAGUACGGCCGCAAGGCUG